GAAGUCUAACAUGUGCGCGAGUCAUUGGGCUGAAAACCCAAAGGCGGAAUGAAAGUGAAGGGAGCUUUGCUUUCCGAGGGAGGAUGAGCGUGUCAGCUGAAAGGGCGGCGCUCCGCACUCCCGAGGCGUCUCUUUCUCAUUGCGAGUGGAGGCGCACUCAGAGCGCUCACGUUAGGACCCGAAAGAUGGUGAACUAUGCCUGGUCAGGACGAAGCCAGGGGAAACCCUGGUGGAGGUCCGUAGCGAUUCUGACGUGCAAAUCGAUCGUCAGAGCUGGGUAUAGGGGCGAAAGACUAAUCGAACCAUCUAGUAGCUGGUUCCCUCCGAAGUUUCCCUCAGGAUAGCUGGCACCCACGAUACUCGAGUCUCAUCUGGUAAAGCGAACGAUUAGAGGCAUUGGGGCCGAAACGACCUCAACCUAUUCUCGAACUUUAAAUAGAUGAGAGCUCCGGCUUGCUUAACAGUGAAGCCGGAGACUCGGAUCAGGGCGCCCAGUGGGCCGAUUUUG
Molecule: ribosomal RNA, 508 nt
Filed under: Hydrotrephes sp. MBH-2004
Lineage: Eukaryota; Metazoa; Arthropoda; Insecta; Hemiptera; Helotrephidae
Description: eukaryotic LSU rRNA
Rfam family: Eukaryotic large subunit ribosomal RNA
Source: RNAcentral